GACGAACGCUGGCGGCGUGCCUAAUACAUGCAAGUCGAACGCAGUGGGGACGGGUGAGUAACACGUGGGUAACCUCCCAUCAGAGGGGAUAACACUUGGAAACAGGUGCUAAACCGAUACUGAUGGAUGGACCCGCUGUGCAUUAGCUAGUUGGUGAGGUAACGGCUCACCAAGGCCACGAUGCAUAGGCGACCUGAGAGGGUGAUCUGCAAAACUGGGACUGAGACACGGUGCAGAAUCCUACGGGAUGCAGCAGUAGGGAAUCUUACGCAAUGGACGAAAGUCUUACCGAGCAAAGGCGCGUGAGUUAAGAAUGGUUUCGGAUCGUAAAACUAUGUUGUUAGAGAAGCGGUAUCUAACCAGAAAGCCACGGCUAACUACGUGCCAGCAGCCGCGGUAAUAC
RNAcentral lists this ribosomal RNA (403 nucleotides) under uncultured bacterium. RNAcentral describes it as "partial 16S ribosomal RNA". It matches the Rfam family "Bacterial small subunit ribosomal RNA", at positions 28 to 526 of the family's 1533-position model. The record is from RNAcentral.